CUCAUUAAGAGAUUUAUUGAUUCAUUUAUGCAUUCAUUUAUUCAUUCAAUCCUUAAUUAAUUAAUUGAUUACUUCAUUGAUUCAUUAACUCAUUGAUUGAUUGGUAAAUACAUUAAUUGAUUGAUUCAUUCAUUCAAUCAUUCAUGUAUUGAUUGAUUGAUUAAUUAAUUCAUUGACACAUUAAUUUAUUAAUUAAUGAAUUAAUUAAUAUAGUGAUUUAUUGAUUGAUUCAUUUAUUUAUUCAUUCAUUCAUUUAUCCAUUUAAUCAAUCAUUGAUUAUUCAUUCCUUUAAAAAAAAAAAACAUUGAGUAUACAAAAAAAAGUUAAUAUAUAGCUAGAAUAACAUCUUAAGAAAUUGAAAUAAAUAACAAAAAAAAAUUAGAUAUGAACUAGAUAAAAACUAGAUUUUUGAGAAAUCCUUAUUUGUUUAAAUAUAUAAACCUAUACCAUAUAUUUAGUUUCAGACCAACCCCAUUUCUAUCCACCUUUAAAACUUGGCAAGUGACCUGGCUGAUGGUUAAAGUGUGGUUAUAACAUUUUCCCAGUAAAUGAUAUUGGAAAAAAAAUUACAUAAAGUAACCCAAAAUGUCAUAAAGUAACCCAUAAUCAUGAUCAUUUCCCUCUCCUGGACCGGCUUUCAGAACUGUUUAUGAGCAGAGCAGGCGAAAUCCCAUCAGAAGAGCUGUGAAAAACCACUCGGCUGAUAUUGGAUUAAGGAGAGCAGCCAAAAACGUCAAUGAACAAACCCCAGCACCUCUUGAAAGGAUUACAUCUAUUGACAUUUUGACAUUUGUAUACACAAAUUAUAUCCACGUUUUGGAGGAUUGAGAUGUUUGUCUGCCAGCCAGGAACGGGCCUUCACACUUGACUGAUGGGAGACCAGUUUCACCCCAAAAUCAGCUCACAACAAUAAAAUAUUGUUGUUGGUGCUGUUGUUAAUAGUAUUUUUAUUAUUUAAUAGUAACUUUGUUAUGCCUUGUGCUUUUUAUUGAUUUUAUUGGAUUAUUUUAAUCCAUUCAGAUAAAUAAAACAAUAAAUUGCAAUAUAAAAGUAUUAUAUUUAUUAAUAUCAAUUAUAUAUAUAUAUAUAUAUAUAUAUAUAUAUAUAUAUAUAUAUAUAUAUAUAUAUAUAUAUAUAUAUAUAUAUAUAUAUUAUAUGACUAUAAUAAUUAUUGAAAACAAUACAACAAUAAAUAACUUGUAACAAUCUUUAAACCAAAUAUUCAUUUAUUUUCUUUCUUUCUUUGUAUUUCUCAUGCUCAAAGCUUUAGUUACUCUUUUGUUUUUAUUUUUAUGUCUAAAUCUUAUUUUGUUUAUAUGUAUAAAUCUCUAUUUAUUU
This 1338-nucleotide long non-coding RNA is filed under the name Danio rerio (zebrafish). RNAcentral describes it as "lncRNA si:ch211-239b20.2 (ENSDARG00000117799.1)". Lineage: Eukaryota; Metazoa; Chordata; Actinopteri; Cypriniformes; Danionidae. The record is from RNAcentral.